GGCGGCAUGGCCAAGUGGUAAGGCGGGGGACUGCAAAUCCUUUAUCCCCAGUUCAAAUCCGGGUGUCGCCUGCUAAACAA
Molecule: transfer RNA, 80 nt
Filed under: Veratrum album
Lineage: Eukaryota; Viridiplantae; Streptophyta; Magnoliopsida; Liliales; Melanthiaceae
Also listed under: 2 other names
Description: tRNA-Cys
Rfam family: tRNA (bases 1-71)
About the family: Transfer RNA (tRNA) molecules are approximately 80 nucleotides in length. Their secondary structure includes four short double-helical elements and three loops (D, anti-codon, and T loops). Further hydrogen bonds mediate the characteristic L-shaped molecular structure. tRNAs have two regions of fundamental functional importance: the anti-codon, which is responsible for specific mRNA codon recognition, and the 3' end, to which the tRNAs corresponding amino acid is attached (by aminoacyl-tRNA synthetases). tRNAs cope with the degeneracy of the genetic code in two manners: having more than one tRNA (with a specific anti-codon) for a particular amino acid; and 'wobble' base-pairing, i.e. permitting non-standard base-pairing at the 3rd anti-codon position.
Source: RNAcentral